AAUAAAUUGUAUUAGAAUAAGUAAUAUAUUUAUUAUAUAAGAAUGACGAUAAGGUCAAGGACAAAUAAAAUAAUAUUUCACAAGAUGUUUCUAUUUUAUAGAAUUGACAAAGCUCUUUUAACUAUGACAGAAGAUUCAGAAAUGGCUCCAAGCACUUUGAUUUUUGUUUCUACUCAAAGGAGAUUCAGAAGACGACAAACUUAUAUAAUACACCUGCUCAUAGAGAUGUACUGAUAUCCAUCUAUUCCACGUAAUGAAAAAGACAACAGAUUUUCACGUCUUUUGGAUACAUACCUAGAAGCGGAAUCACUGGGUCUUAUGGAAAGAGCUCAUCAACUGUAUUAGAAACUGCCUAGUUGUGUUAUGUAAGUACUUGAACCUCUUUUCAUCUCCACCAGCAGUGCACUAGAAUUCCAGUUCCCCCACAUUCUCACAGACACCUGGCAUUGACAGUUAUUUUAUUUUUAGCCAUUGUAGAAUGCCUUAGUGGCAUUUCA
RNAcentral lists this long non-coding RNA (497 nucleotides) under Callithrix jacchus (white-tufted-ear marmoset). RNAcentral describes it as "lncRNA (ENSCJAG00000085974.1)". The record is from RNAcentral. Lineage: Eukaryota; Metazoa; Chordata; Mammalia; Primates; Cebidae.